ACGGGGCCCGCACAAGCGGUGGAGUAUGUGGUUUAAUUCGAUGCAACGCGAAGAACCUUACCUGGUCUUGACAUCCCGGAGACCCUUAGGAAACUAGGGGUGCUUCCAUCUGGAAGAAUCUGGAGACAGGUGCUGCAUGGCUGUCGUCAGCUCGUGUCGUGAGAUGUUGGGUUAAGUCCCGCAACGAGCGCAACCCUUGCCUUUAGUUGCCAGCAGUUCGGCUGGGCACUCUAAAGGGACUGCCGGUGUUAAACCGGAGGAAGGUGGGGAUGACGUCAAGUCCUCAUGGCCUUUAUGACCAGGGCUACACACGUACUACAAUGGCCGAUACAAAGGGCAGCGACACUGCGAGGUGAAGCCAAUCCCGUAAAAUCGGUCUCAGUCCGGAUUGGAGUCUGCAACUCGACUCCAUGAAGUUGGAAUCGCUAGUAAUCGUGGAUCAGCAUGCCACGGUGAAUACGUUCCCGGGCCUU
This 473-nucleotide ribosomal RNA is filed under the name uncultured Desulfobulbus sp. Its description in RNAcentral is "bacterial SSU rRNA". It matches the Rfam family "Bacterial small subunit ribosomal RNA", at positions 916 to 1381 of the family's 1533-position model. The record is from RNAcentral. Lineage: Bacteria; Pseudomonadati; Thermodesulfobacteriota; Desulfobulbia; Desulfobulbales; Desulfobulbaceae.